UCAGGUACUUAGUGACUCUCAAUGCUUUUGACAUUUUGGGGGUCACUCUGUGCCUGUGC
This 59-nucleotide microRNA precursor is filed under the name Drosophila melanogaster (fruit fly). Its description in RNAcentral is "Dme-Mir-306_pre stem-loop". It matches the Rfam family "mir-306 microRNA precursor family", at positions 13 to 70 of the family's 81-position model. The record is from RNAcentral. Lineage: Eukaryota; Metazoa; Arthropoda; Insecta; Diptera; Drosophilidae. RNAcentral also lists the same sequence under 1 other name.